UUUUUCUUUGACAGCUCGGUCAGAAAGCUUCUCCGGAGUUUCGAGUAUUUUGAUUUCGUACGGAGAUAGUGGAUAAAGAUGUGGUUGCGACUGCCGCUGGGUGUGAGCCGAGAGAAAAGGAUUUAUUUGAGGCAUUUAGUCUAUGGGUUCGACAAUCGAGGUAAGGGGUUUCAUUUUUAAAAUUACAAGUUUUUAAUUUAAGAAUGCCAAAAAGCUUAUUGAGUAAUUGCAAAUAAUUUACACGUAUUUUGUGUGACUAAUUGAUGAGAAUUGGUUGUAAUUGUGAGUGUUGGUCAAUUUGGUGUUGCUUGUUAAAUUGCAAUGUGAUUUGAGUUUAUGAAUUGGGUUUGAAUUGAGACUGUGUUUGAUACUGGAAUUUAUGGUUAUGGAAGUGGAUGGUAACUGAUUUUGGUAUUAGUAUGAUGGGAAUAGGUGCUGAUGAAGGGCUGGUAAAAAUACGCAAGAAGGUGAUUUUGGUUAGUAUUAAAUGUUAAACGAGUAUGAUCAGAGAGAUUUGUAAAAUCUGAAUGAAGAAAUGAAUUUCCUUUAAUUUUCAAAAGCAAAAGAUUGAAACGGGCUAAUUUUAUUGAAAUAGAAAGAGGCUUAGUUUUAAAGAGAAUGGUUUGAUUUUAUUUGAUAUUUUGAAUGAUGUGAAUAUUGAAAACGAUUUAUUACUUGGAAAUAUUUUGAAAUGGAUUUGAAAGAUAAUUAAUGGAAUCUCUGCCACAGGAGAGCAGAGAAUAACGAUUAGAGAAUAUAUUAACUAAAAGGAUAUCUGGCAUAGGAGAGUAGAGAACAAAGAUUAAAGGAAUAUAUUAAUUAAUGAAAUGACUGCCACAGGAGAGCAGAUGUGACAUUGUUUGGGCCUUAGUGCCAAAUGUAUAGUGGGGACGCCCACACACUGAGAACUGUUUUCCAGAUGUACGCUUAUUGAUUUGGAAAGUCACACUGUAUGCGGCCUAUCCGUACGACUUAUAAGCACACCGUAUACAUCUGGAAAGCCAUAUCUGGGACUCGUGUCCGGGUAAUGUCGGGAGCGGGUAGACAACCGACACAUGAUCUCAUGGCCUGCAUUAGGAAUAGACAUGCAUCAUGUUGUUUGCAUAUUUGUAUUUGGUUGUGUUUGCUUGUAUUACUUCUCUGUGAUUGCGCUGUUUGACUUAUUUGUAUGUUGGUUUGAAUUCCUUACUUGUACUGUUAGUUCACAGAUGAAUUGAGGUGAGAUGUUGUGGUUGAAAAAUGAUUAUGUAGCUGAGAGGUGGUUAGUAUGACUAAUUUUGUGGUUAAAAUCUGUUUUGAGUUUAGAAAUUUAAAGAAAAGUAAUUAAUUAUCUAAAGUAGAAAUAAAAGUAUUUUCAAAGGUUUAACAAAAUAGUUUUACUAAGUAAGUUAAUUAUUUGCAUUAAAUUCAUUACUUUUAUAGCAUUUCUAUUCCCUACUGAGAACAUGUGGUUUGUUCUCACCCAAAAUCUUCCACUCUUUCGGUGACACAGGUUCAAUUCGGAGAUUCAGUAAGAAGUUGCAAACGAUUAGUAGCUUUACUUGUGAUUUCUGUUGUUUUUAUAGAGUUUCCUCGCCCUUGUUGCUUCAGGGUCUUUAUUUUAUCCAGAGGGUUAGGUAUUGUAUUUGAGUUUUAUAUUAAAUUUAAUUGUAUAGCCUC
This 1659-nucleotide long non-coding RNA is filed under the name Arachis ipaensis. Its description in RNAcentral is "long non-coding RNA (AIPA_LNC002481)". Lineage: Eukaryota; Viridiplantae; Streptophyta; Magnoliopsida; Fabales; Fabaceae. The record is from RNAcentral.